GGCUGCACCCACGGCAUAUGGAGAUUCCCAGGCUACGAUCUAACUCAGCUGUAGCUGCCAGCCUACGCCAGAGCCACAGCAAUGGCAGAGCCGAGCCACAUCUGCAACCUACACCACAGCUCACAGCAAUUCCAGAUCCUUAACCCACUGAGCGAGGCCAGGGAUCGAGCCCGCAACGUCAUGGUUCCUAGUCGGAUUUGUUAACCACUAAACCACGAUGGGAACUCCAAAUCUUAUUACUAAUAAAAUAACAGUAAAACAAAUGCAUGUGGCACACUUCUUAUUAGCAACGAUGUUCAGGUCCAAAUAUUUUUCCAGUUUCACAAUUUUUAAAAAUUGGUUAUUUUAUCAGAAGAUUCUAGAGUUCCCCAAGAAGCUAAGCCUGGGUCAAAUUCUCCAUGAGAGUGAUGAUAAUUAUCACAUGCAGAACGCUAAAUCCAGGCAUGAAAAGAGGCAAAUAUUGCCUCGAUGGCUUUUAGCCACACAAGUAUCAGCUUCACUGUUCUGUCUCUUCAUCUGUAAGAUUACUGGGUUGUCAUAAGAAUUGAAUAAGGGAAUAAAACAGUUAAAACAGUACCAGGAACAGAGGAAGAACUCAGGGAUCUUCUUUGAUAGAUUGCUCCCUCUCCACUUAAUUGAAAUGCUAAUAGGUUAAUUACAACCAAAACUGUGAAGUUCAGAACAUGUAUUCCUUCAAAUAUUGUCCAUAUUUGACCAUCUUUUAAAGACUUCAAAUGCAACACAUUCUAUAACAAACAUAAAAUCUAAUCACUUUCUAAUCUUCCCCUUGUAUUCUCUAGCUCUAGGUAUAUUCCUAUUUUUUUUAUAGCUAAAUAGGGUUGAUUUAAAAAAAAAUCUAUUUCCUUGACUCAUUCCACUUUCCUUAUUCUUCAAGCCUUAGAACCAUUUAGCCUGGGUUUCUAAGUUAUCCCUCAGCUUGUGGUCCCUCUCUGAUAACAAUCCUCACAGUACCAUACACAAUAAUCUUUCUAAAAGAAAUAAUCUGAUCAAGUAACUUUUUACUUAAAAUCCUUCAAUAGUUUCCAUGACAAUUCAAGAUAAAAUCUGACGUCCUCCGUAUGCCAUAGAAGGUUCUCUUGCUUUUUUCUUAAAUUUUUAUUAUACUUGAUUUACAAUGUUCUGUCAGUUUCUGCUGUACAGCAAAGUGACCCCGUUAUACAUUUAUGUACAUUCUUAUGCCUUGUUGUUUAAUGCAAACUCAUUUUUGGACUAAAUGUCAAACUUGGAUGCUUAUAGUUUACCUAUGAUUUAUGUCUUUAUUAUAUUUAUUAUACUAUACUUAUAGUCCAUAUUUAUCUGUUUGACUCCUCCUAAGAUGCUCAGAUUCUUAAGG
This 1354-nucleotide long non-coding RNA is filed under the name Sus scrofa (pig). RNAcentral describes it as "lncRNA (ENSSSCG00000044168.1)". Lineage: Eukaryota; Metazoa; Chordata; Mammalia; Artiodactyla; Suidae. The record is from RNAcentral.